RNAcentral lists this ribosomal RNA (443 nucleotides) under uncultured bacterium. RNAcentral describes it as "partial 16S ribosomal RNA". It matches the Rfam family "Bacterial small subunit ribosomal RNA", at positions 338 to 795 of the family's 1533-position model. The record is from RNAcentral.
CCUACGGGGUGCAGCAGUGGGGAAUAUUGGGCAAUGGGCGCAAGCCUGACCCAGCAACGCCGCGUGAAGGAAGAAGGCUUUCGGGUUGUAAACUUCUUUUCUCAGGGACGAAGAAAGUGACGGUAGCUGAGGAAUAAGCCACGGCUAACUACGUGACAGCAGGCGCGGUAAUACGUAGGUGGCAAGCGUUAUCCGGAUUUACUGGGGGUAAAGGGCGUGUAGGCGGGGAAGCAAGUCAGAUGUGACAACCACGGGCUCAACCUGUGGCCUGCAUUUGAAACUGUUUUUCUUGAGUACUGGAGAGGCAGACGGAAUUCCUGGUGUAGCGGUUAAAUGCGUAGAUAUUAGGCGGAACACCAGUGGCGAAGGCGGUCUUCUGGACAGCAACUGACGCUGAGGCGCGAAAGCGUGGGGAGCAAACAGGAUUAGAUACCCUAGUAGUC